UACGUAGGGGGCUAGCGUUGUCCGGAUUUAUUGGGCGUAAAGAGCGUGUAGGCGGCCAGGUAGGUCUGCUGUGAAAACUCGAGGCUCAACCUCGAGACGUCGGCGGAAACCAUCUGGCUAGAGUCCGGAAGAGGAGAGUGGAAUUCCCAGUGUAGCGGUGAAAUGCGUAGAUAUUGGGAGGAACACCAGUGGCGAAGGCGGCUCACUGGACCGGAACUGACGCUGAGGCGCGAAAGCGUGGGGAGCAAACAGG
Molecule: ribosomal RNA, 253 nt
Filed under: uncultured bacterium
Lineage: Bacteria
Description: partial 16S ribosomal RNA
Rfam family: Bacterial small subunit ribosomal RNA
Source: RNAcentral